ACACUUUGUUUGUAACCAAUGGAGCUCUUUCUCCAUGGGGGCCCAGCGAGUAAUGGCUACAGACAGUGGCCUCCUUGGUGGUGUCUGCAGUCAGUUGAUUGUAUGGGUUGCCCUAAGGGACCUUGGAGACAGCC
Vulpes vulpes (red fox) is the source of this 134-nucleotide small nucleolar RNA. Its record names the gene SNORA70. It matches the Rfam family "Small nucleolar RNA SNORA70". From Rfam's summary of the family: snoRNA U70 seems to be exclusive to mammals and is a member of the H/ACA class of snoRNA which contain H (ANANNA) and ACA box motifs. The record is from Ensembl. Lineage: Eukaryota; Metazoa; Chordata; Mammalia; Carnivora; Canidae.